This 25-nucleotide non-coding RNA is filed under the name Mus musculus (house mouse). The record is from RNAcentral. Lineage: Eukaryota; Metazoa; Chordata; Mammalia; Rodentia; Muridae.
UAGAUAUAUGGACUCCUUCGUUUCC